Molecule: ribosomal RNA, 253 nt
Filed under: uncultured bacterium
Lineage: Bacteria
Description: partial 16S ribosomal RNA
Rfam family: Bacterial small subunit ribosomal RNA
Source: RNAcentral
UACAGAGGGUGCAAGCGUUAAUCGGAAUUACUGGGCGUAAAGCGUGCGUAGACGGUUAUGUAAGUCGGGUGUGAAAGCCCCGGGCUCAACCUGGGAAUGCCAUUCGAGACUGCAUAGCUAGGGUGCGGAAGAGGGAAGCGGAAUUUCCGGUGUAGCGGUGAAAUGCGUAGAUAUCGGGAGGAACACCGGUGGCGAAGGCGGCGACCUGGUUCGAUACUGACACUGAGGUGCGAAAGCGUGGGGAGCAAACAGG